RNAcentral lists this ribosomal RNA (520 nucleotides) under Aquipseudomonas alcaligenes. RNAcentral describes it as "bacterial SSU rRNA". It matches the Rfam family "Bacterial small subunit ribosomal RNA", at positions 36 to 525 of the family's 1533-position model. The record is from RNAcentral. Lineage: Bacteria; Pseudomonadati; Pseudomonadota; Gammaproteobacteria; Pseudomonadales; Pseudomonadaceae.
CCCGACAAAAAUUGGAACGGGAGGUCUGGCGGUCGGCCGCGCACAUGCGUUUCGAGCGGAUGACGGGAGCUUGCUCCUUGUUUCAGCGGCGGACGGGUGAGUAAUGCCUAGGAAUCUGCCUGGUAGUGGGGGACAACGUUUCGAAAGGAACGCUAAUACCGCAUACGUCCUACGGGAGAAAGCAGGGGACCUUCGGGCCUUGCGCUAUCAGAUGAGCCUAGGUCGGAUUAGCUAGUUGGUGAGGUAAUGGCUCACCAAGGGGACGAUCCGUAACUGGUCUGAGAGGAUGAUCAGUCACACUGGAACUGAGACACGGUCCAGACUCCUACGGGAGGCAGCAGUGGGGAAUAUUGGACAAUGGGCGAAAGCCUGAUCCAGCCAUGCCGCGUGUGUGAAAGAGGUCUUCGGAUUGUAAAGCACUUUAAGUUGGGAGGAAGGGCAGUAAAUUAAUACCUUGCUGUUUUGACGUUACCGACAAAUAACACCGGGCUAACUCUGUGCCAACCAGCCCCCAGUAAAA